This 1096-nucleotide long non-coding RNA is filed under the name Homo sapiens (human). RNAcentral describes it as "HSALNT0290082". The record is from RNAcentral. Lineage: Eukaryota; Metazoa; Chordata; Mammalia; Primates; Hominidae.
UUGAUGCAGAUGAAUUUCAGGAAGAACUGGGAGAGUAGAAACAAAAUUGUCAGCACUUCUCCAUGGAAACCCCAUGGAGGUUUCAGGGCUGAGGACAGCGCUGGGGAAGUCCUGGGGCCCCCAGAAGCCAGAGGUGGGGUAACAAGAGGAUGGGUGGAUGACUUACGCAGGGAGCAGCCCUCUGAAACCGCCGGAAUCGAGGCCUCCUUUGCACCUUGAUUCCACCCAGAGUCUGCGCCUACGCUUUGGGCAGGGGAGGCAGAACCCACGUUGGUCUAAGAGCAGGGAGAAGUGGGCAUGAUCCUACCAUGCUGCAGGGCCUCGGGAUGGGGAUGGGAUUUGCUGCUCUUUGUGCCCAAUUAAUGAGCGAGACGAACAAGCACACUGAGUAGCUUCCUGCCAGCCGUCCCCUUUGGCAGCAAACUCAUCCCCACCUCUGGGCCUUGGCUCGAGUUGUUAGCCAACUCAACCUUGAAGCCGUCCCUUCCUAUCAGCCCAUGCAAAUUCUGCCAUCAGCCAAGGACCGCCUCUUCCUCUUCCGGGAAGCUGACUUCAAGCCAUGCCCUUCCCUUUUGCAAGCUCCCGUGGCUCGCGACCCGCAGCCCACCCCUGCACCAGUGGACACUGCGGGAUGGCCUGGCCUCGGCUCUGCAUUUUCACUUCUCUUAGCUCUCAUCUCCUCCACCACAGAGACAGCUCUGUCUGAGUAUCUUUCUGAUACUGUUCUUUAUCCCCCAGGACUGGCCCAGCCCAGGGCGGUGCGUACAGCAGACACUUAAUGUAACACAGUAGCAGCUUUUAAUUUCUCAGGCCAAUGAGAUACAGACAGUCACUGGUAUGGUAGUUUUUCAGUCAAGCAUCAAGGGAAGAACUUAUUAGUUUGAAUUACAAACAACAGAAGUAGAAAACUCCACAAGGAAAAAUCUCAGCUGGUGAAGAAGCUCAGGAGCUCACAGAAGGCUCCAAGCAGGCAGGACCAGACCGCAGCUUCCAGGUGCUGGGAUCCGGGGACCACACCUUCACCUGCUGCUCUCUUGAAGGAAAAACAAAUAUCUGCCUCUGGCAGGUAAAAAAAAAAUAAAAGGAGUGCGUCUCA